GAUGAACGCUGGCGGCGUGCCUAAUACAUGCAAGUCGAGCGAACAGACGAGGAGCUUGCUCCUCUGACGUAGCGGGGGACGGGUGAGGAAAACGUGGAUAACCUACCUAUAAGAAUGGGAUAACUUCGGGGAACCGGAGCCAAUAACGGAAAAUAUAUUGAAACGCAUGGGUUAAUAAGGAAAGACGGGUUUGGUUGUACUUAUAGAUUGAUCCGCGGCGCAUUAGCUAGUUGGUUAGGUAACGGCUUACCAAGGCAACGAUGCGUAGCCGACCUGAGAGGGUGAUCGGCCACACUGGAACUGAGACACGGUCCAGACUCCUACGGGAGGCAGCAGUAGGGAAUCUUCCGCAAUGGGCGAAAGCCUGACGGAGCAACGCCGCGUGAGUGAUGAAGGUCUUCGGAUCGUAAAACUCUGUUAUUAGGGAAGAACAAAUGUGUAAGUAACUAUGCACGUCUUGACGGUACCUAAUCAGAAAGCCACGGCUAACUACGUG
RNAcentral lists this ribosomal RNA (496 nucleotides) under uncultured bacterium. RNAcentral's name for it is "partial 16S ribosomal RNA". It matches the Rfam family "Bacterial small subunit ribosomal RNA", at positions 28 to 507 of the family's 1533-position model. The record is from RNAcentral.